GAAUUUACAAAAUUGCUAAGGCAGUAAUACUAAUACCCAAAUGUUCCUACUACUAAACCGAACAAUACAUUAUGAAAUGUAUAAGCAUGGUCAAACUUCCACAAUCACAAUUCAAAUUCUUUUCAUCUAAUUGUAAUAAUACAGAUCCCCACACCCUGAAAUAAGAAUAAGUGCAUUGCUUUGGAACCAAAGCAUUGCAGCUUACUGGUAUUCCUCCCCUGUUGUAAAGGUGAGAGACAUGAGUAAGAAUCACAAUCCUCCCGUCCCCAACUCAAUGAAAAGAGCAUUGCUCUGGAAUCUGGAUUAUCUUUCUUUCUUUUUCAAUGGCUGGACAGCCCGGACUGCAAAUUAAACAAUUGUAAAAGAAGUUCAGCAUAUACCUUACCUUAAGCUUUAGGCAGAGGCGGUGGUGGUGGACCUGGUGGUGAACUGGUGAUAGCUGAGGCGGCCAGAUGCAGGGGUGAAGCGAGCCCGAGGCCGGAGGUGGUGGCGGCUGAGGCGGCGACUCGAGCUGGUAGUUCCAGGCGGCCGCUGACGCGAGUGGAGGCAUCGUGUCGUGGUGGUGCCGGCGUGCAGCAGUGGUUGACCUGGUGGUUCCGGGUCAGUGGCAAACGGCGGCUGCAGCGGACGGCGUGGAUCUUUGAGGUGGUGGCGGACGGCGCGGCGAGGUGAAUUGAAAUUGGGAAAAGAAAGGAGGAAAAAUGGAGGACUGGAGGAGGCGCCG
RNAcentral lists this long non-coding RNA (724 nucleotides) under Salvia miltiorrhiza (redroot sage). RNAcentral describes it as "long non-coding RNA (SMIL_LNC006668)". Lineage: Eukaryota; Viridiplantae; Streptophyta; Magnoliopsida; Lamiales; Lamiaceae. The record is from RNAcentral.